This 132-nucleotide non-coding RNA is filed under the name Burkholderiales bacterium. RNAcentral describes it as "Glycine". It matches the Rfam family "Glycine riboswitch aptamer". Rfam says of the family: This family represents the bacterial glycine riboswitch. Glycine riboswitches usually consist of two metabolite-binding aptamers domains with similar structures in tandem. The record is from RNAcentral. Lineage: Bacteria; Pseudomonadati; Pseudomonadota; Betaproteobacteria; Burkholderiales.
GCGAGCGUCUCUGGAGAGACCGGACUUGGCGUCCGGCGCCGAAGGUGCAAGGGGCUGCAAGGUCUGCGCUCUCAUUACGGGGGCCGAUCGGGCCGCCCCGGAACUCUCAGGCAAAAGGACAGAGGGGCGCGC